This 448-nucleotide ribosomal RNA is filed under the name uncultured organism. RNAcentral describes it as "partial 16S ribosomal RNA". It matches the Rfam family "Bacterial small subunit ribosomal RNA", at positions 334 to 798 of the family's 1533-position model. The record is from RNAcentral.
CACUCCUACGGGAGGCAGCAGUGGGGAAUGUUGGACAAUGGGCGCAAGCCUGAUCCAGCCAUGCCGCGUGAGUGAUGAAGGCCCUAGGGUUGUAAAGCUCUUUCACCGGUGAAGAUAAUGACGGUAACCGGAGAAGAAGCCCCGGCUAACUUCGUGCCAGCAGCCGCGGUAAUACGAAGGGGGCUAGCGUUGUUCGGAUUUACUGGGCGUAAAGCGCACGUAGGCGGACUAUUAAGUCAGGGGUGAAAUCCCGGGGCUCAACCCCGGAACUGCCUUUGAUACUGGUAGUCUUGAGUUCGAGAGAGGUGAGUGGAAUUCCGAGUGUAGAGGUGAAAUUCGUAGAUAUUCGGAGGAACACCAGUGGCGAAGGCGGCUCACUGGCUCGAUACUGACGCUGAGGUGCGAAAGCGUGGGGAGCAAACAGGAUUAGAUACCCUUGUAGUCCCAU